This is a non-coding RNA of Dermacentor albipictus, 164 nucleotides long. NCBI's taxonomy places the organism in Eukaryota, Metazoa, Arthropoda, Arachnida, Ixodida, Ixodidae. The record is from RefSeq and is a predicted model, not a curated record.
UUACUUAACUGGUGUUAGGCUUCCGGUGAUCAUCUAGGUGGGCGCCCCGUGCCGAGGCCUUACCAUUGUACUGCGGUCGCCUGAAGCGCGCCACUCCCCCUAACCACGGUAGAUGGGGCACGCGAUCUUUAGUAGAGGGGCUCGGCGCUACACGCCAGCCCCUU